This 82-nucleotide transfer RNA is filed under the name Gongylonema pulchrum. It matches the Rfam family "tRNA". From Rfam's summary of the family: Transfer RNA (tRNA) molecules are approximately 80 nucleotides in length. Their secondary structure includes four short double-helical elements and three loops (D, anti-codon, and T loops). The record is from Rfam by way of RNAcentral. Lineage: Eukaryota; Metazoa; Nematoda; Chromadorea; Rhabditida; Gongylonematidae.
AGGCCGGUAGUGUAGUGGAUAACAUGUUACGAUUCGAAGUCUUGAGACAAUAAAAAAGAGGGUACGAUUCCCUUCCGGUUCA